UUGCUUGGAUGAGUCUGCGACAUGCCUAAUAAGAGACGAGAUGGGCCAGGGCGACGAGAGCGACCGCAUUGUGAUCAACGUGGGAGGGACUAGGCACCAGACUUACCGCAGCACCCUACGCACCCUGCCCGGCACUCGGCUGGCCUGGAUCGCCGAGCCCGAUGCCCACAGCCACUUCGACUAUGACCCCCGCACGGAUGAGUUUUUCUUUGACCGGCACCCGGGCGUCUUCGCCCACAUCCUGAAUUACUACCGCACGGGCAAGCUGCACUGCCCCGCGGACGUGUGCGGGCCCCUGUAUGAGGAGGAGCUGGCCUUCUGGGGCAUCGAUGAGACUGAUGUGGAGCCCUGCUGCUGGAUGACCUACCGGCAGCACCGCGACGCCGAAGAGGCUCUGGACAGCUUUGGUGGGGCGCCCCUGGAUAGCAGUGCCGAGGACGGAGACAUAGAUGGCACCGGAGACUCUGGCGAUGGUGAAGAGGAGCUGGAGAUGACAAAACGCCUAGCACUUAGUGACUCCCCAGAUGGCAGGUCCGGGGGCUUCUGGAGACGGUGGCAGCCCCGCAUCUGGGCGCUCUUUGAGGACCCCUACUCCUCCAGAUAUGCAAGGGUAAGCUCUGCAAUCGGCACCCUCAUCACAACACUCGAACCUCCCUUCAGUCCCGCUUCCUCCUGGCAUCGUCAGGGUUAUCUCCACUGUCACAGCAGAGCAGCCAUCCGUGUGUGUAGCCAUACAAAAAUCAUGCAUGGGCUAUGGGGACUAACACCCUCAAGCAGGCCCCAUGCAUGA
Merops nubicus (carmine bee-eater) is the source of this 790-nucleotide RNA transcript. It is a transcript of the gene named potassium voltage-gated channel subfamily C member 1 pseudogene, with no coding region annotated. The transcript has a single exon. NCBI's taxonomy places the organism in Eukaryota, Metazoa, Chordata, Aves, Coraciiformes, Meropidae. The record is from RefSeq and is a predicted model, not a curated record.